CUUGGUUGGGUUGCUGCUGGCUCUUAGGAGCAUGUGCACGCCUAAUGCCAUUUUUAACCACCYKUKCAMCCUUUGUAGAUCUGGAGUACCUCUCGAGGAAACUCGGUUUGAGGAUUGCUGUGUUGAAAAGCCAGCUUUCCUUGCAUUUCAGGUCUAUGUUUUUAUAUAUACCCCACAAGAAUGUAACAGAAUGUUGUCAAUGGGCCUCUUGUGCCUUUAAAACAAAUACAACUUUCAACAACGGAUCUCUUGGCUCUCGCAUCGAUGAAGAACGCAGCGAAAUGCGAUAAGUAAUGUGAAUUGCAGAAUUCAGUGAAUCAUCGAAUCUUUGAACGCACCUUGCGCUCCUUGGUAUUCCGAGGAGCAUGCCUGUUUGAGUGUCAUGAAAUUCUCAACCUUUCUGGCUUUUGGCUGGUCAGGCUUGGAUUGUGGGAGCUGCUGGCUUUUCAGGAAGUCGGCUCUUCUUAAAUGCAUUAGUAAAACCUUUGCUAGGCCAUCUUUGGUGUGAUAAUUAUCUAUGCCACUGAUGUCUAGCUUCCUCAUAAGGGGGGUUUAGCUUCUAACUGUCCACUUUGGACUACUUUGACAAU
Molecule: unclassified non-coding RNA, 590 nt
Filed under: Entoloma caeruleopolitum
Lineage: Eukaryota; Fungi; Basidiomycota; Agaricomycetes; Agaricales; Entolomataceae
Description: sequence contains ITS1, 5.8S rRNA gene, ITS2
Source: RNAcentral